CGCCCAUAGACCACACACCUCUUCUUUCCUCAAUCUCAAAAGACUGUUCGUUUUUCUUUUGCAUCUGAGUAAAUGUCGUCCCUCGGGAUGUAAAUAGAAGUAAAUUCUACUCAAUUAUGGCACACUGUCGACUACAUUAGGCAGGGCUUUAAAAAUAUCGUUUCCCCUUUUCAUGACUGUUGCAUGACCAAUUCACAUUCAUUUCAGAAAACUUAGAAUAUUCACGAAAGCACCAAUGGAGAAAAUUAAAAGGCUUCAUCUUAUAACAGGGCAAUUAUUUUUAACAAUUGCCUAUAGGCCAUUCCAGAGCUUUUAGUGUAUGGUUUACCUUUUACUGUUGUGUGCUUAAAUGGACAGAAUAGGCUUUCCUAUUUUAGUGUGUGCAUGAAAAGUGAAAUGUGCCAUCUCUUAAAAUUCUUACUCUGUGCAUAGUCUGCUACCCUCUGACUUCCUGUAUAAACGUUCAGAAGCUUUACCUUUUUAUUGUAUGAAUGUCUUUUUUCAUUUGUAAUACCAAUUUUUAAUCAUGGAAGUUUUGAUACUCGGAGAUCAGAGUGAUUACUAGUUGCAAUUUGUGUCUUUCCAACCUUCUGGUGUGGUCUGAAAAGAAUUCAUGGAUUGCCCUUUCUUCUUUCUCGUUUCCAUUCUGCCCACGUCUCCAUUCUUGUAUGAGCUAGCUUUUUAGAAUGCUUCACACACACACACCCCUGACCAGGCAGCAUGGCUGGUUUUGUUUGAUUUGAGCUCUGCCAUGUGCCUGGGAUGCCUCACUGGGAAACCUCUGGGGCUGAGAUUUCUUCUUCCGGGUUCCAGCCAUCCCCCACGAUAUUACUUUUGCAGUUCUACACCAUGAGGCAGUCCUGCACUGAAAAUGACCUUUCUGUAAACAGAGGGCACAUGCAAUGGCAUCCUGUCAGAUGAUGCAUCCUCCUGGAUCCUAGCUGUUUUAGCUUGUGCAGGGAACUACUCUGAUGUCCAGAUAGUGACAGACUCGCCACUCCUCAGCAUGUAUCCCAUCCCUAAGUGACACAUUACUGUAUCGAUUUUCCUUGCAUGUGUCUCUCUUCCUUCAGGGGUGGAGGAAGUGUGCUUUCUUUUAACAGCUUUUGGCUCAACAAAAAUGGUCCCAAACCACCCCCGAGUGAUAAUCUUUUUGCAUUCUGAGCUGGGUGAGUCACAUCUUUGGUCCUUUCAGGGCCACAUUUUCACUUUGUUUUGGAGGUCCAGUCAUGCACCUGUGGUCACACACCCAGUGGGGAGCUGAGCCCAGAUUCCAACCCAGGGCCUCCUCAUGGUAUGGCCCCAGUGCCUGGCCCAGCACCUCCAAAGGGCACACACACUCAUGAGUCAAUUAAAGGAGGUAGUUGGAAAUGCAGCUGAGCAUUUUAAAGGUUUUGAAAAGCUUUUUUUUUUCCCCCCAUAGAUUCCUAAUUCUCUGAUUUGCUAAGCAAUUGACAUUUUGCCAAGUUCCUCUUUCCUCUCUGGUCUGAAUUACAGAGGAGGGGCUGUUUAAUCGGCUUGGUAACAGUGUUAGGAUUCUCCAGAGAAACAGGAGGGAGAGAGGAGAUUUAUUUUAAGUAACUGGCUCAUGCAAUUGUGGGGACUGGCAAGUCCAGCAUCCGCAGGGGAAGCUGGCAGGCUGGAAACCAGGAGGCUUUCUGCGUUGUGUGUUGGGGCUGAAUUCCUUCCUCUUUGAGAGACCUGUCUUUGCUCGUAAGGCCUUCCAGCGUUUGGAUGGGGCCCACCUGCAUGUGGAGGGUCAGUCGCUCUACCCAAAGUCUACCGAUUUAAAUGUUAAGGUUACCUUUAAAAGCCUUCAUAGCAACAUCUGGAUUUGCAUGAGAGCAGAUACCUGGGUACCACCGUCUGCCAAGUUGACACAGGGAGUUCACUAUCCAGUACCUUUUGGGUCUCUCCUAAACCUCAGAGGAAAGAAGUUUCUUCCGUUCUACUUAUGACACAAGGGUAUUUUUCCAGAUUCACACCAUCUUCUCCUGUCUGAGUUGGUGGAGAGGGGAACCUGUCCCCUGAGGGCCCAGUGUUCAUCCGUGUGGAUCAGGGCAUGUGCAGUGGGGCCGAUGCUGAGGACAGGGAUAGUGUCCGCCUGUGCCCUUCCCCACUGGAAGGCAGAGCACCGGGACCGUUCUGUGUUUGCUAACUAAACAGGCUGCAGUUGUGCUGGGGAGAAGGGCGCCUCGUCACGGCGGGACUCACGGGUCGCUGCUCCUGCACGGCACUCGAGUUGUCAUAACAUGUGGGGUGAAUCCCCUCAGCAGCAAUCGGAGGUGCAAUCCUCCUGUCAGGAACUUCCUCCGUACUUCAUGAUCUGUCCCCUGAGAGUUCUGACUCCCCCCAUGACAUCCCACAAAGAAGAACCAAAUAUGACAAGGCUGAGAAACAACUUCAGUUUCUCCUCCUCUUCUCCUCUGAUGUCCUUCCUUAGCCAAAGUCUAUAUGUCUAGUUGCUUUGUUUUUAAAACCCUAAAUUGAGUGCCGUUAAGAUAAAUGGUGCUCCUUAAUAAUACCAAGUAGAGUUCUUCUGUGAGGGGUGUCCCUGGCCCUAAAUGAAAACACAAACACAACAUUGCUGAGUGUCCCUCUUUGCACCUGGGAGAGGUACCUGAGAGUGGAAGAGAUCCUGCCUGUGUGAUCCCCACUGACUGACUAUGACCAGAGCAAAUUUGCAGGGCAUCUCUGGACCUCAGCUUCCUCCUCAGUUGGAAAGAAGAGAAGGGCUGUGUUUGAGAGCAUUAAAUGAGAGUCACGUAGCCCCUUCCCUGGCACGCAGUAGAAAAAGCUCUUCAUUCUCCUUUCUUUCCAUGCAUCGAGAUUCCAGCAGCGUUCUUCAAGCCAGAAUGGCAAAAGAGCUCCUAUUUAAGUUCCACUUUCCCCUCCCUCUGUUCUCUACUAAAACGUCAUCCCUGUCCAUUUGGAGCAUUUAACUUGGAAAUUGCCUGAGGCCCAGCCAUAUCCCUAAGGAGCCCUGAAAAGCCUGGAGAGACAGAAAGAGUUCACAUCUCUGUGUGGAUAUCAUGAUGACUGAAAGAACUGAGAAAGAGAAGGGCAGCCGCUAACAGAGUAUCUCCUGUGGAACAGAAGGACAUAGACUACCUCCUAGAUCACCAAUACUGGACAUAAUCACUCAGAGGCCCUGACAAAGUCAGACAAAACAAGACCACUUCAUAAUUUUGUCCAAGACAAAGAUCACCAUGUAACCCAUAAACUCUAAACAUUUCUCCUUUUUUUUUUUUUUGCAUCUAGUGAAUUGGUCGCUGUUUCAUUACCAGCCUUGUCUGGCCAGAUACCCCCAAACAUAGAAUUGCUCCUGCAUUCGGACAGCAUCCACUUUGGCAUGAAUCCUCCCUAAAUCGCCCAUAAGGAGUUCAAAUUCUAUAAUAAAUCCUAUCUAACA
This is a non-coding RNA of Ictidomys tridecemlineatus (thirteen-lined ground squirrel), 3412 nucleotides long. The record is from RefSeq and is a predicted model, not a curated record. Lineage: Eukaryota; Metazoa; Chordata; Mammalia; Rodentia; Sciuridae.